This 241-nucleotide ribosomal RNA is filed under the name uncultured bacterium. RNAcentral's name for it is "partial 16S ribosomal RNA". It matches the Rfam family "Bacterial small subunit ribosomal RNA", at positions 92 to 334 of the family's 1533-position model. The record is from RNAcentral.
CGACCGGCGCACGGGUGCGUAACGCGUAUGCAACCUACCUUUAACAGGGGGAUAACACUGAGAAAUUGGUACUAAUACCCCAUAAUAUCAUAGAAGGCAUCUUUUAUGGUUGAAAAUUCCGAUGGUUAGAGAUGGGCAUGCGUUGUAUUAGCUAGUUGGUGGGGUAACGGCUCACCAAGGCGACGAUACAUAGGGGGACUGAGAGGUUAACCCCCCACACUGGUACUGAGGCACGGACCAG